Molecule: long non-coding RNA, 2668 nt
Organism: Gasterosteus aculeatus aculeatus (three-spined stickleback)
Lineage: Eukaryota; Metazoa; Chordata; Actinopteri; Perciformes; Gasterosteidae
Source: Ensembl
AAAAAAACUGAGUUAAAAACUAUAUUCUACCCAGAAAUACUUUUUAUUUUUAAUGCAUUGUUUUAUUUUCCAAUGUUGAACUUCACAUCUGUUCUUCAAAUGAUCAAAACUUUAAGCCUGGAUUUGGUUCCAUACAGAACUUUUCAACUGUGGCUUUUUCCUUUAAUUGAGAGUAAAGGGUGUGAAUACUUUUCUCACCACUAGUGGGCAGUAUAACCCAGUACAAACCAAGUAUAAACCAGUACAAACCCAGUAUAACCCAGUACAAACCAAGUAUAAACCAGUACAAACCCAGUAUAACCCAGUACAAACCAAUACAAACCCAGUAUAAACCAGUACAAACCCAGUAUAACCCAGUGUGUGUUGUGUGCGUGUCACUGCUCUCAUAUAGUUAUAAAUGACCAUAUUUGGUCAUGUAAUUUACUUUAUUGAUCAUCAGUCUGAUAAUUAACGUUGAUGCAGAAAAAACACCUUAUUGCAAUAAAAAAAUAAUAACUUAACUAAAGUAAAUGACUGAUGAAAGGUCCUGAAAAUGAUUGUUAAUAAAAGAAACAUUUCAUUCAGUGAAGUAAAGACGUUUAUAUUCACAGUGCAGCAGACAGACGGGUGACAGGCAGCACGAUGUCAUCGCUGACGUGUAACAUCUCAGCUGGAUGAAUGUUACACACUGUUGCUCCACAAUGACAUCAUCACUGUGGUGUGUGUGUGUGUGUGUGUGUGUGUGUGUCUAGCUAAAGUGACCCAGCCUCCUCAGCACCAGGCUGUGAUCGGUCUGCUGACUCUCACGUUCCUGUUGUUCUGGAGGUGAAUCGCUCUGCAACACACGCAAGACUUUACAACCAGGAAGUGAGACCAGCGCGUAAAGACCAACGUGAAGACGCAGGAACACGUCUCGGCCUCCAGUCGAGGUCUCUUCAGUGGGGAUGUGCUCACGGCUCAGGUACGAUGACCCCGUUGACCUCCUGCGGUUCCUCCUGUCGGCUCAAAGGACCCAGAGACCGAAUCAAAGAACACGUCUUUGGACGCACAAACACUCUCCUUCCACCAGUAGUCGCAGCAGGAUCUGUCCUCUGUCCUCGCAGGUCUGCAUGGUCCUGGUUCUGUGGACGUCCUCGGGGACCCUGCUGCUCAGUCGUUGGGGACGUGUUCCCGUUCCGGGGGAACCGACCGCAAAACCCUCAAAGGUCCGAUUGGGCUAAAAUGAAAUAAAAUGAAUUGAAAUAUUCUAAAGGAGCUUUGUCACAAUCCAAAGCGUGUACUAACGUGUACUACUAGCAUGUACUAACAUGUACUACUAGCGUGUACUAACGUGUACUAACGUGAUCAGAUUUGAAUUAUGCAGAAUUUCUGUCAACUCAAAUGAUCAUUUUCACAUUUUGUCACAGAAAGUGUUGGAAAGUAAGAACUUUUUGUUCAUGUGUCAAAUAAAAUAUUAUUUUUAACGAUGCUUGUUUCACUCUCCUGGUGGUGACGUCUCACAGGAGGACACGUGGGAGGACACAUACCUGUAGAUUAUUGUUAUAUCGGACGGACAGACGACAUCUCGUGAUGAAAGUUGUGCUAAAAAGAACAUGUGAGGAGAUCCAGUUGAUUACGUGACAUUAAAACGAUCACAGCUGCACUGUGGUAUCAUUUAUUGAUCACGGUGGUUCUACAAUAUUCUCAUCAUGUUAUUGAUUACGUAGCUCCAGAGUCAUGGCUGUAACCCGGUGACCCUGAAUGUUGAUUUGAGAGCCGGGUGUUUUAUUUCUAACGUCCGCUUCCUGUCAACGCUCGGCGGUGCGUUUGACUUGUCGUCGGGGGGCCGGUCGCUCGGGGCCCAGAGGCCUCUGGGACGCUGCGGGUGAGGAAUAUUACAGGAAGAGGGCGACGGGGGCGAGCUGCUGACGUCCAGCCGUGGUCACCCGCUUAGUCAGAGACAGGAAGUCCUGUUGGUUUUACUCACAGGGAACCCAAAGCAAACACAGCUGGGAUUGGUCAGGUCCCUCCCCCCCAGGCCUCUGCUCCACCAAUCACGUGGAGGCGGAAAAUGACGAGCAGAGCGCCGUCUGUCCGUCUGGCGCCCACAUUUAACCCCUUAAUGAGUCACGCCUUCAAAAUAAAGUACCGUUUCAAACCAAACAAAACAACGGCUUUAAAGGUCUUAUUCAUUUCAAUGUGCUUCAUGUCAACAUUACUUUGCCGUCCCAACUAAUAAUCAAUCGUCAAUAUUCAAUCAGUCAAGAUCACUCAUAAGGAAGAAUGCGUCAAAAUAAAGUUCCUUGUGGGCUUUUGUUUUAUGUUUCAGGGGAAGUUUCUUCUCUCAGAGCCAGAAUGUUUCUGUAUUAUUCCAUAAACACAGUGACCGUUUAUGACUGUGAGACGGAACCUUCACAGAAGCUUCUUUAUUCUUUCUUUCCAAAAUGAGUUUCAAAGGAUUUGAGGGUUUAUAAUUAUACAUGAACUAUUGUUUUCUACUCCAGCGUUUGCUUUAAUAUUCAGUGAUUUACAAGAUUUAGCUGACGGAUAUUUAAUCUACAGCGGCAACAAACGUUGUCAAAGAAAGAAGCCUGAAAUGAUGCGUUGAGGAUAUUGAAGUUUGAUGGACGUUAAGUAGUCCUUUUGUUUUGUAAUCCUUUAUUGUAUCCUAGCAACAUGGUAGUGAUGAAUAAAUAAUAAGACGUUUGUG